UAUAAAGUGCCUGAAAAAAGGGAUAUUCUGAUAGAGUAAAUUAUGUAAAAUUUUACCUUUAUAA
RNAcentral lists this transfer RNA (64 nucleotides) under Parapsyche difformis. RNAcentral describes it as "tRNA-Ile". The record is from RNAcentral. Lineage: Eukaryota; Metazoa; Arthropoda; Insecta; Trichoptera; Hydropsychidae.